Dama dama (fallow deer) is the source of this 281-nucleotide long non-coding RNA. RefSeq lists it as uncharacterized. The record is from RefSeq and is a predicted model, not a curated record. The transcript has 3 exons. Lineage: Eukaryota; Metazoa; Chordata; Mammalia; Artiodactyla; Cervidae.
UGGGUUGGAAAGAAGCCCUGGAGAAGGGAAUGGCUACCCAUUGCAGUAUUCCUGCCUGGAGAAUUCCAUGGACAGAGAAGACUGGUGGGCUAUAAUCCACGGGGCUGCAAAGAAUUGGACAAGACUGAGAGACUAAGCAGCAACACAGAAACAAUUGAGCAUGGAUUGAUGGAGUAAAGAGACCAAGAUGCCAAACCUCAUCAAGGUGGCCCAAGAUGCAAGAAAGUGAAUGACCCUAGCAAGGACCCUGCCUUACACCAAGAUGACACAGGUCUGUGGAC